UGGGACACACACGGGAGUCCGGGAUCGCCGGGCUGAGAGGGAGCGAGCAGCGCUCCGACCGUCGAACCUGAUCCGGGUCAUGCCGGCGCAGGGAGGAGUCCACAUGCCUGUC
Non-coding RNA from Curtobacterium sp. Leaf183, 112 nucleotides. NCBI's taxonomy places the organism in Bacteria, Bacillati, Actinomycetota, Actinomycetes, Micrococcales, Microbacteriaceae. The record is from Rfam.